Molecule: long non-coding RNA, 2450 nt
Organism: Bos taurus (domestic cattle)
Lineage: Eukaryota; Metazoa; Chordata; Mammalia; Artiodactyla; Bovidae
Source: Ensembl
UUUAUAUUCUAUAUAUUAGGUAGGUCAAUCUUAUUUGGUCUCAAGAGGAAGAACUGUCCCUGUAAUUUCUGUAAGUAGGAUACCGUGAGGAAGACCAAAAAGAGAUGUGGAAGUUCUUUGGCUCAGGAAGCCUGAACUUGAUCCAUCUCUCUGCUUGGGUUCCAGGCUACCACCUGGACAAACCCUUAGCCCUGGAGCCUUCAUAUCACAGGUCAGCCUAGUCUGAUUGUCCCAGUACCUGAAGGGAGCAAUGGCUCGAGGGCCUGGUCAAGUCUACCACUCUGGUCCUUAGAGCUGAGCAUCCUGCUCGCAUCAGGAAACCCAGACAGCAGUCUGCCUCCUCAGAUUCAGUCUCAAAUGCCCUUGUUCACGUGAGUUAUCACAGGUGGCUUUCUCUCUCACUACAGAAAUACAGCAGCUUCAGGACUUUUUUGAGAGUGACUGAUAACUUCCUGGAUUGGGAUCCCUGUACAUGGUUUGGAUAUUGCCCUUCCUGUGACACUUAAAAUCCCAAUGCCUUGCCUUUUCCCUUUGAGUAGAGCUACUGCAGUGCCUCACUGGCUUGCCUCUAUGCAUCAGUGGAUUACACAGUAAUGAAGUAAAGCCCAGCUGAUGGGGUGAGUGGAGCAAUUUGUUGGCUAAGUGUAGGCCAGUGGUGGAGCUGAAGGCACACUCUGUCUGCCCUGUCGCUGCUUCCCCACAGAGAUCAGUUAGAGAUGCCCUGGUCCAAGCUGUAUUUUCCCUUCCCCAGAAACAAUGCCAUUCUUGCUCCCAUUCCUACGUAUCCCACCUCUGGCUCAGGUGAAAUCCAUGCCACUCUGCUUACGGAUAAAAAGUUCAGGUCCUUUUGCCCAUUGGUUUUGAAUCUGCCCUCUUUUUCGAGUAUUGAGAUCCAACUCCAGAGGCGUUUUCUGAGAAAAAUGGUUGGGACUAGUGGUUAUCACUGAAAAGUGAUAGCAGAGCCAUACCACCUCAGUGAGUCAGAUGCUCCUCUGCAGUUUGGCCAUGAUAAUUACCAAGCCCCACUCUCCCUGGUAGGCAAGGGGCAGGACCCUCUUCACUUGGCCUGCUGACUCCAUUACUCCUACAGUUCAAAAGAAAGUCACCCCACCCCUUGAUCUUGUCCAACAGCCAGAGCAUUUGAGUAAGAACUACUUCUUGUAUCUCUAGCAAUAGUUAAGUCCCUGACACUGGGGCCAUAUUCUUCCUGUGAGACGUACACAUCCUGCCUUGCCCAGCUGUUCCUACUUUUGCUUCAGAUCUGGGACAUGUACUAAAUAGAAGACUCUUCUGAUUAUCAGUUACUGCUUGAAGGCUGCUUUCUCCAAGGACUCCAAAGGCUGAAGUGUCUCCCAGGGCACAACCUGAGGACAAAUUUCUCAUCAGCUAACAUGGCCUCUCGGAGCUUUCCUUUGUUUAGUGUCUUCCUCAGACUAUGUUUUCCCAUUUUAUUCCUCUGACCCUCCUUUCAGUUAACAGGUGAAGUUCUUCGAGCCCCCUGAGAUGGUAACAUCAUCUUUUGUGUCCCCCUCUCCUUUGUUCAUCUUGCAAAGCAAAAUAUUGUUUCUUUUUAGCCCAGGCUUGACAGUCACUCUUCGUGGACAGCCCCCCUCUGGACUGCAGACCCUGGCCCAGAUGAAGACCAUGGUAAGGGAAGAAUUUUGAGGUCAGUACAAACCAAAUAAGUCUGUAAAUUAAAGCUGUUAGUUUUCCUCUGAGAGGGCAUUUUGCAUCAGGCCUGGGCUAUGUUCAGAAUCAAACCUGAAAAAAAAAAAAAGAAUCAAACCUGGCUGUGAGUUAGAAGAAGCACCGUUAAAUUUUAGACCUAGAACACCCCAGGAAAAAGGUUUGUGUAGUGUGUCAUAAAGGCCGUGAGUGUGUUUGGGCCACCUUACUACUUCUGGGCCAGCCUGACUGCUGCUGUGCACAUUAGCACAUACCUGAACCCCUCUGCUAAACUUAAGCCCUGCAUCCCUACCUAGGUCAGAUGUUCAGCCUCUGGGUUUGGGAAGAGAAAACUGCCGUGGCGAGAAUCCUCAAGCCCUGGAGUUGGGUAUUGGCUCUUUCAGCCAGUUUUUGUGGGACUUGCCUUUGGUUGGACCACUAAAGAAGCAAAUAAGGUGUGAGGUUCCAGUUACCCAAGACAGCAGAGGUCCCUCAGAAACAUCUUGGGUUCCCAGCUACAGACCCUCGGAAGGUGAAUCAAACCUGUUUCCGCACUGGUUUUUCUCUCCAAAUUUAUUUUGCUUUUAAGAACUAUAAACUCUAGCUAUUGUUUUCCAUGUUCUCAGGGCCCCUGGGUAGACAGACAAAGCUUGAUGAUUUCAGAGCAGAUAUAGGCCAAGAAACCAUGGCAUUGAGUGUGCUGAGUCCAGACAAAUGAUAUUUAUAUACACAUCCAAAUUUGAAGAGAAAAUGUAUUUCUUUAGGUUUCAAACACUGUAAUAGAU